UGGCGGCAAGGCCUAACACAUGCAAGUCGAGCGGUAACAGAGAGUAGCUUGGUACUUUGCUGACGAGCGGCGGACGGGUGAGUAAUGCAUAGGAAUCUGCCUAGUAGUGGGGGAUAACGUUCGGAAACGAACGCUAAUACCGCAUAACGUCCUACGGAGAAAGUGGGGGACCUUCGGACCUCACGCUAUUAGAUGAGCCUAGGUCGGAUUAGCUAGUUGGUGAGGUAAUGGCUCACCAAGGCGACGAUCCGUAACUGGUCUGAGAGGAUGAUCAGUCACACUGGAACUGAGACACUU
RNAcentral lists this ribosomal RNA (297 nucleotides) under Pseudomonas sp. RNAcentral describes it as "partial 16S ribosomal RNA". It matches the Rfam family "Bacterial small subunit ribosomal RNA", at positions 37 to 329 of the family's 1533-position model. Lineage: Bacteria; Pseudomonadati; Pseudomonadota; Gammaproteobacteria; Pseudomonadales; Pseudomonadaceae. The record is from RNAcentral.